AGCGCAGGCGGUGCGGCGAGUCUGAUGUGAAAGCCCGGGGCUCAACCCCGGUACUGCAUUGGAAACUGUCGUACUAGAGUGUCGGAGGGGUAAGCGGAAUUCCUAGUGUAGCGGUGAAAUGCGUAGAUAUUAGGAGGAACACCAGUGGCGAAGGCGGCUUACUGGACGAUAACUGACGCUGAGGCUCGAAAGCGUGGGGAGCAAACA
RNAcentral lists this ribosomal RNA (207 nucleotides) under uncultured bacterium. RNAcentral's name for it is "partial 16S ribosomal RNA". It matches the Rfam family "Bacterial small subunit ribosomal RNA", at positions 568 to 774 of the family's 1533-position model. The record is from RNAcentral.